GACGAACGCUGGCGGCGUGCUUAACACAUGCAAGUCGAACGAAGAGCGAUGGAAGCUUGCUUCUAUCAAUCUUAGUGGCGAACGGGUGAGUAACGCGUAAUCAACCUGCCCUUCAGAGGGGGACAACAGUUGGAAACGACUGCUAAUACCGCAUACGAUCUAAUCUCGGCAUCGAGGAUAGAUGAAAGGUGGCCUCUACAUGUAAGCUAUCACUGAAGGAGGGGAUUGCGUCUGAUUAGCUAGUUGGAGGGGUAACGGCCCACCAAGGCGAUGAUCAGUAGCCGGUCUGAGAGGAUGAACGGCCACAUUGGGACGGAGACACGGCCCAGACUCCUACGGGAGGCAGCAGUGGGGAAUCUUCCGCAAUGGACGAAAGUCUGACGGAGCAACGCCGCGUGAGCGAUGACGGCCUUCGGGUUGUAAAGCUCUGUUAAUCGGGACGAAAGGCCUUCUUGCGAAUAGUGAGAAGGAUUGACGGUACCGGAAUAGAAAGCCACGGCUAACUACGUG
RNAcentral lists this ribosomal RNA (510 nucleotides) under uncultured bacterium. RNAcentral describes it as "partial 16S ribosomal RNA". It matches the Rfam family "Bacterial small subunit ribosomal RNA", at positions 28 to 507 of the family's 1533-position model. The record is from RNAcentral.